UUCCCGCACUCAGGCGCCGGUUGAGGCUGCGCUCCCGGCGAGGGACAGGUACUCCUUCCAGCCGGUUAACGUUCAGCUCAAGACCGGAUUAAGUCUCUUGCUCUCCAAAUAAAAUUGUAAAGGUUUGGAAAUAUAGAACCACAUUUUUACCAAAAACCUACUAGAGAGCAUUCGUCAGCUUGCCCUUUUCGCCCCGAAAAACGACUUUUUCACUCACAGCCUGUCUCUUCCUCUUUUUAAAUUUAUGCCGACAGAGGAAGAAGCUGAUAUUUAACAAAUAACAAGAGGUUGCGAUAAAUAGAAUUUAAGGUGGGAAAGCAGCCGCCAAACUGACAAAUCGUCUUCGAGACCGACAGGAAAAUAGUAGUCCGGAAUUUGGCUAAUGGAUGGAGAAGGUGGUCGUUUUUCAUAGACCCUUACGGAGAAUAUCCAGUGAAGCUAAAGAGAUCACCAUAAACUUAUGCAUUCAAACGCAUUUCUGGAACAGAGGUCGUAACCGAUUUUGUUUCCAUCAUCAGUCCUGAACAGUUGAUUAUUUAUAUAAAUAAUCAACUGUUAUUUAUAUAAAGGUAAUAAAAAUAUUACCUUUCCUCCUCCUUUACAAUGAAUAUCUGUUAGAACACCUGCCAGUGUAACAAUCAGACUACAAAGCUACAGGAUUAUGAUUACUGUCUCGGAUGAUGAGCCCGAGGUCCUACAAAUCAUGACCCCCGCCGGCCCCUCAUUCUGCCCAUAUUUGCCAAACGUCUGCAUCAGUAAUUUGAAUAAUUUAAAAUAGUUCCAAAACAGCAAAGCUCAGCAGUUACGCAAAGAAACAAGAAUGGAAAACAUCCCCUCAGGCACAGAGAAGUGUCCACCCCUUUGGGUGGAGGAAUUAUACAAAUCAGGAGAAAGAUAAGGACAAUAGCAGUUCAUCACGAUUUAUCCCGCCUCUGCAAUGUUCUAGACAAAUUAACUCGGAGCGCUCCAAUGGACCCGCAUUUGUCUCUUUACUAUUCAAUCGCUGUAAGAUAUACGGAGACUGCAUCACUUUAAAUGGGAGUAUCAAUUGCUUUGUGGUUAUGCUGGAUUUUGUGUUAUUGCUCAGUCACUAAAGUAAGAAAAAUCUAUAUGGCUUGUCAAAUUUAUGCCUAUUGUAUUUCGCCCCCUGCUGGUUUAGCUCGUGUGCAAGCUUGAAUUUGUGUGUGUGUAGAAACUAGAAAUUGAUUUUAAACGAACACAUGCUUGUUUUCAUUUUACAGCUCUACUAAACAGAAAUAUCAAAAUAAGAACAUAUGACUAGACCUUAAAGCAGACCCUACACUAAGAACAUGCUUAAACUAAAUGAAUUUAAACUGCACUCCAGCCUGCGCGACAGAGUGAAACCCUGUCUAAAAAAAAAUUAAAUUAAAUUGCACACCACCCAUCAGCUUACAAUUUUGUAAUAGGGAAAUUGAGUACCUAUUUGGCCAACUAACUUGUAAUUGGUAAUCUUACAUGUAAUUCCGAAGACAGUGCCCUAAUGAUCAUGACAUUUUAUUACAAAAGGAAAGUAUUUGAGUGUUUUUAAGGUGAUAAAUCUGUGGGAAAUAUAAAGUCCAUUUCAUUUGGAGUCAAUGACAGUAUUGUUUUUACUUACCUUUUAAAAAUUAUGGCCAUAACUGCAUUAUCUAAGAUUUGGCAUCAAGAAAAGAAGAAGAAAAAAAUUACCAGUUAACAUUUGUUGUAUUUACUUCUAGUUUUUUUUCCUGUGCGUACUUUUUACAAACUUGUAAUCAUAAUUUAAGUAGAUUUUGUGUCCCUUUUGUGUUGUAAGCAUUUCCACCCAUCGUUUAAUGUAAAACCUUAAUUUUAAUUGGCUGCUUAGUAGUCAAUGGAAUGACCACUAUAUGGAUAGUUUUCACUAUUAUAAAAUAAUACUUAGAUGAACA
RNAcentral lists this long non-coding RNA (1910 nucleotides) under Pan troglodytes (chimpanzee). RNAcentral's name for it is "lincRNA". Lineage: Eukaryota; Metazoa; Chordata; Mammalia; Primates; Hominidae. The record is from RNAcentral.